This 1473-nucleotide ribosomal RNA is filed under the name Triticum aestivum (bread wheat). Its description in RNAcentral is "partial small subunit ribosomal RNA". The record is from RNAcentral. Lineage: Eukaryota; Viridiplantae; Streptophyta; Magnoliopsida; Poales; Poaceae.
AUGGAAAGCCCGCAAGAUCUGGAUCCGCGGAGGCACGCAGGCGAUCGCGACGCCCUGGAGACGAACGCCGUCGGUUCCAUUGGGGAGAUGGUCGUCGCCCCGGCGGGGAGCGGCGCCACCGCCAACGUCGUCGCCUCGGAGGGCGUCGUCUCGGGGACGAACGGCGUCGCGUCGGAGGGGAUCGACGGCGGCGCCUCGGCAGGCGUCGUCCCGGGGACGAACGUCGUCGCCUCGGAGGGGAGCGGCGCCGGCGCUAAGGUUGGAGGGAGGCGACGCCGGAGGGGAGCGGCGUCGAACUCCCUCAGCGCCAAGGCGACCGUCCCCGUCGACAAGUGGCGCUGCCACCAGUGCCGUCAGAGAAAAAUAGGGGUCGCGACAGAUUGCAAAAGGUGCACUCAGAGAUACUGCGAGAGUUGCAUGCGUAACAGGUAUCCUUUGAUUGCGGAUGAGGUGUUGAAGAAGGGGGCCUGGGAAUGCGCCAAAUGCAGGAAGGAGUGCAACUGCAGCGUGUGCCAAAAGAAGAGAGGGGACGAGCCGACGGGGCGAAUGGUCCAUGCCACCAACAGGCCGAAGGUCAACCUGGUGCAAACUAAGAGCAUCAGUACACUCAAGGAUGAAAUAGUUGUACCCAGGGGUACUCCCGUGACUUGCAUUGCAGGUAUAAAGCUGCAGUCUGAAGAUGUUGGCGCUGCUAUUCAAUUUCUGGAGUUCUGCCGCUCCUUUGGCAAGAUCUGCAAAAUAGGGAAGGGGCUACCAGAAGAAAUUCUCACAGACUUAACUCAACUCGAAGAGGUGUCUUCAGUUGUUGCUAACGUUCACAUAAAUCUUCUGUCUAUCAUAGAAAAUGGCAAAGAUAACCCUUUUGAUAAGUAUCCAAGUCAUGGAGAUGAAUGGAUAAGAAAAGUAGGCGAGUACAUCAAUUUGACAUUACAUGCAGAAGAUUUCACACUUCGUUGUUUAAAUCAAGGGGUAUCAGGCUAUAAAAUUUUGAACCCUUCUUGUAAGCUGGAGGUUCUGAAUUGUCUGUGUAAUGAGGCAUUGUCUUCUAAAAAGUUGAGGACCUACAUUGACAUUGAAGAUAAAAAAUGUAUGGCCAGACAAAAAAUCAAAGCUGCAACCAGAAAGCAAAAGGAGCUGAAAAGAAGACAUGAUGACAUGACUAAAACAAUCAAAGGAGGAGAUAUUGCUAACAAUGAGGAAGCUAAUGAUAUUCUUUCUCAAAUAAAGGAAGCAGAAGAAAUCAAGAAGGCAGCCCGGAAUGAAUCAGAGGAGCUGGAACGUGUUCAUAGGACAGCUCCUGUUAUGGUAGACAAUGGAGUAAAAUACUGGAAGCUGGGUGGCUAUUGUAAUAACAAUACAAACAUAAUGCGUCAAGAAUUCGUUGACGAAAAUAGAACCAAGAACAAAGACAUAUGGUUCAUGUUCACUGAAGACGAACAUAAAAUAGUUGAAGAUCAUGUAACUACAAGGUGA